RNAcentral lists this ribosomal RNA (468 nucleotides) under uncultured bacterium. Its description in RNAcentral is "partial 16S ribosomal RNA". It matches the Rfam family "Bacterial small subunit ribosomal RNA", at positions 28 to 507 of the family's 1533-position model. The record is from RNAcentral.
GACGAACGCUGGCGGCGUGCUUAACGCAUGCAAGUCGAACGGAAAGGCCCUGCUUUUGUGGGGUGCUCGAGUGGCGAACGGGUGAGUAACACGUGAGUAACCUGCCCUUGACUUUGGGAUAACUUCAGGAAACUGGGGCUAAUACCGGAUAGGAGCUCCUGCUGCAUGGUGGGGGUUGGAAAGUUUCGGCGGUUGGGGAUGGACUCGCGGCUUAUCAGCUUGUUGGUGGGGUAGUGGCUUACCAAGGGUUUGACGGGUAGCCGGCCUGAGAGGGUGACCGGCCACAUUGGGACUGAGAUACGGCCCAGACUCCUACGGGAGGCAGCAGUGGGGAAUAUUGCACAAUGGGCGGAAGCCUGAUGCAGCAACGCCGCGUGCGGGAUGACGGCCUUCGGAUUGUAAACCGCUUUCGCCUGUGACGAAGCGUGAGUGACGGUAAUGGGUAAAGAAGCACCGGCUAACUACGUG